UACGAAGGGGGCUAGCGUUGCUCGGAAUCACUGGGCGUAAAGGGUGCGUAGGCGGGUCUUUAAGUCAGAGGUGAAAUCCUGGAGCUCAACUCCAGAACUGCCUUUGAUACUGAAAGUCUUGAGUAUGGGAGAGGUGAGUGGAACUGCGAGUGUAGAGGUGAAAUUCGUAGAUAUUCGCAAGAACACCAGUGGCGAAGGCGGCUCACUGGCCCAUAACUGACGCUGAGGCACGAAAGCGUGGGGAGCAAACAGG
RNAcentral lists this ribosomal RNA (253 nucleotides) under uncultured bacterium. Its description in RNAcentral is "partial 16S ribosomal RNA". It matches the Rfam family "Bacterial small subunit ribosomal RNA", at positions 524 to 776 of the family's 1533-position model. The record is from RNAcentral.